RNAcentral lists this non-coding RNA (117 nucleotides) under Punica granatum (pomegranate). RNAcentral describes it as "TPP sequence". It matches the Rfam family "TPP riboswitch aptamer (THI element)". From Rfam's summary of the family: Vitamin B(1) in its active form thiamin pyrophosphate (TPP) is an essential coenzyme that is synthesised by coupling of pyrimidine and thiazole moieties in bacteria. The previously detected thiamin-regulatory element, thi box was extended, resulting in a new, highly conserved RNA secondary structure, the THI element, which is widely distributed in eubacteria and also occurs in some archaea. The record is from Rfam by way of RNAcentral. Lineage: Eukaryota; Viridiplantae; Streptophyta; Magnoliopsida; Myrtales; Lythraceae.
GAAACGCACCGGGGGUGUCCGAAUCCGCUAGCGUUCCGCUAGCAGGUUCGGGCUGAGAAAGUCCCUUCGAACCUGAACAGGAUAAUACCUGCGUAGGGAGUGUGCUUUUUCUUUUCU